RNAcentral lists this ribosomal RNA (757 nucleotides) under uncultured archaeon. Its description in RNAcentral is "bacterial SSU rRNA". It matches the Rfam family "Archaeal small subunit ribosomal RNA", at positions 102 to 859 of the family's 1478-position model. The record is from RNAcentral.
GGACAACUUACCCAAGAGUCCGGGAUAACCCCGGGAAACUGGGGAUAAUACCGGAUAGAUCAUCUGUGCUGGAAGGCUGGGUGGUUGAAACUUCCGGGGCUUUUGGAUGGGUCUGCGGCUGAUUAGGUUGUUGCCGGUGUAACGUACCGUCAAGCCUGUAAUCAGUACGGGUUGUGGGAGCAAGAGCCCGGAGAUGGAUUCUGAGACACGAAUCCAGGCCCUACGGGGCGCAGCAGGCGCGAAAACUCUACAAUGCAGGCAACUGCGAUAGGGGAACAUCGAGUGAUCCUCAUAUUGGGGGUCUGUCCACCCGUCUAAAAAACGGGUGUUAGCAAGGGCCGGGCAAGACCGGUGCCAGCCGCCGCGGUAAUACCGGCGGCUCGAGUGGUGGCCGAUAUUAUUGAGUCUAAAGGGUCCGUAGCCGGCUUUGCAAGUCUCUCGGGAAAUCCAGCGGCUUAACCGUUGGUCGUCCGGGGGGUACUACAUUGCUUGGGACUGGGAGAGGUAGGAGGUACUCAGGGGGUAGGAGUGAAAUCCUGUAAUCCUUUGGGGACCACCGGUGGCGAAGGCGUCCUACCAGAACAGGUCCGACGGUGAGGGACGAAAGCUAGGGGCACGAACCGGAUUAGAUACCCGGGUAGUCCUAGCCGUAAACGAUGCUCGCUAGGUGUCACAACAAUCGUGAAUUGUUGUGGUGCCGUAGGGAAGCCGUGAAGCGAGCCACUUGGGGAAGUACNGNCGCAAGGUUGAAACUUAA